AUUUAUUGUUACUGUUUUUAUUUUGAAGCUAUCAGAAAAAAAUAUAAUGGAAUACUAUGAGAAGUAUAAGCCGAGAAUGAAUGAACUGGAAGCAUUUAAUAUGCUGAAAGUUGUUCUUGCUCCAUGCAUAGAAACACUGAUUCUCCUGGAUCGACUUUGCUACCUGAAAGAGCAGGAAGAUAUUGCAUGGUCUGCACUUGUGAAGUUGUUUGAUCCUGUGAAGUCUCCUAGAUGUUAUGCUGUUAUUGCUCUGAAGAAGCAACAAUGAUUUCAACUGAAGCAAGUUAUUAUUUGUAUGUUUCUGGGACUUAUUGCUAAGAUUGUUUUCCU
Castor canadensis (American beaver) is the source of this 330-nucleotide non-coding RNA. Lineage: Eukaryota; Metazoa; Chordata; Mammalia; Rodentia; Castoridae. The record is from RefSeq and is a predicted model, not a curated record.